CGACCUACGGGUGAAAGCAGGGGAUCUUCGGACCUUGCGCGAUUGAAUGAGCCGAUGUCGGAUUAGCUAGUUGGCGGGGUAAAGGCCCACCAAGGCGACGAUCCGUAGCUGGUCUGAGAGGAUGAUCAGCCACACUGGAACUGAGACACGGUCCAGACUCCUACGGGAGGCAGCAGUGGGGAAUAUUGGACAAUGGGCGCAAGCCUGAUCCAGCCAUACCGCGUGGGUGAAGAAGGCCUUCGGGUUGUAAAGCCCUUUUGUUGGGAAAGAAAUCCAGCUGGCUAAUACCUGGUUGGGAUGACGGUACCCAAAGAAUAAGCACCGGCUAACUUCGUGCCAGCAGCCGCGGUAAUACGAAGGGUGCAAGCGUUACUCGGAAUUACUGGGCGUAAAGCGUGCGUAGGUGGUCGUUUAAGUCCGUUGUGAAAGCCCUGGGCUCAACCUGGGAACUGCA
This 454-nucleotide ribosomal RNA is filed under the name Stenotrophomonas maltophilia. RNAcentral describes it as "bacterial SSU rRNA". It matches the Rfam family "Bacterial small subunit ribosomal RNA", at positions 190 to 625 of the family's 1533-position model. Lineage: Bacteria; Pseudomonadati; Pseudomonadota; Gammaproteobacteria; Lysobacterales; Lysobacteraceae. The record is from RNAcentral.